Molecule: ribosomal RNA, 465 nt
Filed under: Vreelandella stevensii
Lineage: Bacteria; Pseudomonadati; Pseudomonadota; Gammaproteobacteria; Oceanospirillales; Halomonadaceae
Description: partial 16S ribosomal RNA
Rfam family: Bacterial small subunit ribosomal RNA
Source: RNAcentral
CCUACGGGUGGCUUCAGUGGGGAAUAUUGGACAAUGGGCGAAAGCCUGAUCCAGCCAUGCCGCGUGUGUGAAGAAGGCCUUCGGGUUGUAAAGCACUUUCAGUGGGGAAGAAAGCCUUGGGGCUAAUACCCUCGAGGAAGGACAUCACCCACAGAAGAAGCACCGGCUAACUCCGUGCCAGCAGCCGCGGUAAUACGGAGGGUGCGAGCGUUAAUCGGAAUUACUGGGCGUAAAGCGCGCGUAGGCGGUCUGAUAAGCCGGUUGUGAAAGCCCCGGGCUCAACCUGGGAACGGCAUCCGGAACUGUCAGGCUAGAGUGCAGGAGAGGAAGGUAGAAUUCCCGGUGUAGCGGUGAAAUGCGUAGAGAUCGGGAGGAAUACCAGUGGCGAAGGCGGCCUUCUGGACUGACACUGACGCUGAGGUGCGAAAGCGUGGGUAGCAAACAGGAUUAGAUACCCUAGUAGUC